This 31-nucleotide non-coding RNA is filed under the name Mus musculus (house mouse). Lineage: Eukaryota; Metazoa; Chordata; Mammalia; Rodentia; Muridae. The record is from RNAcentral.
UUCCAGUGCGUCCAUAAUAACUUUCUUUGUU